UACGUAGGGAGCAAGCGUUGUCCGGAAUCAUUGGGCGUAAAGCGCGCGUAGGUGGCUUCGUAAGUCCGUUGUGAAAGUCAAAGGCUCAACCUUUGAAUGCCGAUGGAUACUGCGGAGCUAGAGUACGGAAGAGGCGAGUGGAAUUCCUGGUGUAGCGGUGGAAAUGCGCAGAUAUCAGGAGGAACACCGGUGGCGAAGGCGGGUCUCUGGGCCGUAACUGGACGCUGGAGGAGCGAAAGCAUGGGGAGCGAACAGGA
This 257-nucleotide ribosomal RNA is filed under the name uncultured bacterium. RNAcentral's name for it is "partial 16S ribosomal RNA". It matches the Rfam family "Bacterial small subunit ribosomal RNA", at positions 524 to 777 of the family's 1533-position model. The record is from RNAcentral.